GACGAACCGUGCGAACGUUGUUCGGAAUCACUGGGCUUAAAGGGCGCGUAGGCGGGCAACCAAGUCCGGGGUGAAAGCCUCCAGCUUAACUGGAGAAGUGCCUCGGAUACUGGUCGUCUUGAGGAGGGUAGGGGCAUCUGGAACUAGCGGUGGAGCGGUGAAAUGCGUUGAUAUCGCUAGGAACUCCGGUGGCGAAGGCGAGGUGCUGGACCCUUUCUGACGCUGAGGCGCGAAAGCCAGGGGAGCGAACGGG
Molecule: ribosomal RNA, 253 nt
Filed under: uncultured bacterium
Lineage: Bacteria
Description: partial 16S ribosomal RNA
Rfam family: Bacterial small subunit ribosomal RNA
Source: RNAcentral